Molecule: ribosomal RNA, 668 nt
Filed under: alpha proteobacterium IMCC15276
Lineage: Bacteria; Pseudomonadati; Pseudomonadota; Alphaproteobacteria
Description: bacterial SSU rRNA
Rfam family: Bacterial small subunit ribosomal RNA
Source: RNAcentral
ACGUACGCUGGCGGCACGCCUAACACAUGCAAGUCGAACGAAGUAGCAAUACUUAGUGGCAGACGGGUGAGUAACAUGUAGGUAUCUGCCCUUUGGCCUGGAAUAACACGAGGAAACUUGUGCUAAUACCGGAUAAGUCUUUACGGAGAAAGCUUUAUGCACCAUUGGAGGAGCCUGCACUAGAUUAGUUUGUUGGUGGGGUAAUGGCCUACCAAGGCUGUGAUCUAUAGCUGAUUUGAGAGGAUGAUCAGCCACAUUGGGACUGAGACACGGCCCAAACUCCUACGGGAGGCAGCAGUGGGGAAUCUUGCACAAUGGAGGAAACUCUGAUGCAGCGAUGCCGCGUGAGUGAAGAAGGCCUUUGGGUUGUAAAGCUCUUUCGUCGGGGAAGAAAAUGACUGUACCCGAAUAAGAAGGUCCGGCUAACUUCGUGCCAGCAGCCGCGGUAAUACGAAGGGACCUAGCGUAGUUCGGAUUUACUGGGCUUAAAGAGUUCGUAGGUGGUUGAAAAAGUUGGUGGUGAAAUCCCAGAGCUUAACUCUGGAACUGCCAUCAAAACUUUUCAGCUAGAGUAUGAUAGAGGAAAGCAGAAUUUCUAGUGUAGAGGUGAAAUUCGUAGAUAUUAGAAAGAAUACCAAUGCGAAGGCAGCUCUCUGGAUCAUUACUGA